This 253-nucleotide ribosomal RNA is filed under the name uncultured bacterium. Its description in RNAcentral is "partial 16S ribosomal RNA". It matches the Rfam family "Bacterial small subunit ribosomal RNA", at positions 524 to 776 of the family's 1533-position model. The record is from RNAcentral.
UACGAAGGGGGCUAGCGUUGUUCGGAAUUACUGGGCGUAAAGCGCGCGCAGGCGGUCCUUCAAGUCAGAGGUGAAAGCCCAGAGCUCAACUCUGGAACGGCCUUUGAAACUAGAGGACUUGGGUACGGGAGAGGUGAGUGGAAUUCCGAGUGUAGAGGUGAAAUUCGUAGAUAUUCGCAAGAACACCAGUGGCGAAGGCGGCUCACUGGCCCGGUACUGACGCUGAGGCACGAAAGCGUGGGGAGCAAACAGG